Molecule: ribosomal RNA, 435 nt
Filed under: uncultured Flavobacterium sp.
Lineage: Bacteria; Pseudomonadati; Bacteroidota; Flavobacteriia; Flavobacteriales; Flavobacteriaceae
Description: bacterial SSU rRNA
Rfam family: Bacterial small subunit ribosomal RNA
Source: RNAcentral
GGAAUAUUGGACAAUGGGCGCAAGCCUGAUCCAGCCAUGCCGCGUGCAGGAUGACGGUCCUAUGGAUUGUAAACUGCUUUUAUACAGGAAGAAACAGUUCUACGUGUAGAACCUUGACGGUACUGUAAGAAUAAGGAUCGGCUAACUCCGUGCCAGCAGCCGCGGUAAUACGGAGGAUCCAAGCGUUAUCCGGAAUCAUUGGGUUUAAAGGGUCCGUAGGCGGUUUAAUAAGUCAGUGGUGAAAGCCCAUCGCUCAACGGUGGAACGGCCAUUGAUACUGUUAGACUUGAAUUAUUAGGAAGUAACUAGAAUAUGUAGUGUAGCGGUGAAAUGCUUAGAGAUUACAUGGAAUACCAAUUGCGAAGGCAGGUUACUACUAAUUGAUUGACGCUGAUGGACGAAAGCGUGGGUAGCGAACAGGAUUAGAUACCCGAG